RNAcentral lists this long non-coding RNA (203 nucleotides) under Elaeis guineensis (African oil palm). RNAcentral describes it as "long non-coding RNA (EGUI_LNC058012)". The record is from RNAcentral. Lineage: Eukaryota; Viridiplantae; Streptophyta; Magnoliopsida; Arecales; Arecaceae.
UAUCUUUUUCCAGACUUUUCCUCUCUUUUUUCUCUCAUUCCCAUGCCUAAACUCAGCUAGAUAUGGGAUGUGGAACUAGAUGUAGUGCCCUCUUUAAAUAGGAAACAAAGGGGUGCUAUCCAUUUUCAAGGGAUGUCAACUUUUGGCAUCACACUUCCCUCACACGGUGAAAUAAAUCAUCACAAUAAAAUGGCAUGCGGGGA